CCUACGGGAGGCAGCAGUGGGGAAUAUUGCACAAUGGGCGCAAGCCUGACGCAGCGACGCCGCGUGAGGGAUGAAGGUCUUCGGGUCGUACAGCUCUUUCAGCAGGGAAGAACGGUCAAUGUUCUAAUCAGCAGUCAAUUGACGGUACCUGCAAAGGAAGCACCGGCUAACUCCGUGCCAGCAGCCGCGGUAAUACGGAGGGUGCGAGCGUUAAUCGGAAUUACUGGGCGUAAAGCGCUCGUAGGCGGUAUGUCAAGUCAAGGGUGAAAUCCCCGGGCUCAACGGGGGAACUGCCUUUGAAACUGGCAGACUGGAGUGUUGGAGAGGAUAGUGGAAUUCCAGGUGUAGGAGUGAAAUCCGUAGAGAUCUGGAGGAACAUCAGUGGCGAAGGCGACUAUCUGGCACAUAACUGACGCUGAGGAGCGAAAGCGUGGGUAGCAAACAGGAUUAGAUACCCGAGUAGUC
Molecule: ribosomal RNA, 465 nt
Filed under: uncultured bacterium
Lineage: Bacteria
Description: partial 16S ribosomal RNA
Rfam family: Bacterial small subunit ribosomal RNA
Source: RNAcentral